This 1342-nucleotide ribosomal RNA is filed under the name uncultured bacterium. RNAcentral's name for it is "16S ribosomal RNA". It matches the Rfam family "Bacterial small subunit ribosomal RNA", at positions 28 to 1378 of the family's 1533-position model. The record is from RNAcentral.
GACGAACGCUGGCUGCGUGCUUAACACAUGCAAGUCGAACGGAAAGGCCCUGCUUUUGUGGGGUGCUCGAGUGGCGAACGGGUGAGUAACACGUGAGUAACCUGCCCUUGACUUUGGGAUAACUUCAGGAAACUGGGGCUAAUACCGGAUAGGAGCUCCUGCUGCAUGGUGGGGGUUGGAAAGUUUCGGCGGUUGGGGAUGGACUCGCGGCUUAUCAGCUUGUUGGUGGGGUAGUGGCUUACCAAGGCUUUGACGGGUAGCCGGCCUGAGAGGGUGACCGGCCACAUUGGGACUGAGAUACGGCCCAGACUCCUACGGGAGGCAGCAGUGGGGAAUAUUGCACAAUGGGCGGAAGCCUGAUGCAGCAACGCCGCGUGCGGGAUGACGGCCUUCGGGUUGUAAACCGCUUUCGCCUGUGACGAAGCGUGAGUGACGGUAAUGGGUAAAGAAGCACCGGCUAACUACGUGCCAGCAGCCGCGGUGAUACGUAGGGUGCGAGCGUUGUCCGGAUUUAUUGGGCGUAAAGGGCUCGUAGGUGUUGAUCGCGUCGGAAGUGUAAUCUUGGGGCUUAACCCUGAGCGUGCUUUCGAUACGGGUUGACUUGAGGAAGGUAGGGGAGAAUGGAAUUCCUGGUGGAGCGGUGGAAUGCGCAGAUAUCAGGAGGAACACCAGUGGCGAAGGCGGUUCUCUGGGCCUUUCCUGACGCUGAGGAGCGAAAGCGUGGGGAGCGAACAGGCUUAGAUACCCUGGUAGUCCACGCUGUAAACGGUGGGUACUAGGUGUAGGGUCCAUUCCACGGGUUCCGUGCCGUAGCUAACGCUUUAAGUACCCCGCCUGGGGAGUACGGCCGCAAGGCUAAAACUCAAAGGAAUUGACGGGGCCCCGCACAAGCGGCGGAGCAUGCGGAUUAAUUCGAUGCAACGCGUAGAACCUUACCUGGGUUUGACAUGGAUCGGGAGUGCUCAGAGAUGGGUGUGCCUCUUUUGGGGUCGGUUCACAGGUGGUGCAUGGCUGUCGUCAGCUCGUGUCGUGAGAUGUUGGGUUAAGUCCCGCAACGAGCGCAACCCUUGUUCACUGUUGCCAGCACGUUAUGGUGGGGACUCAGUGGAGACCGCCGGGGUCAACUCGGAGGAAGGUGGGGAUGACGUCAAGUCAUCAUGCCCCUUAUGUCCAGGGCUUCACGCAUGCUACAAUGGCUGGUACAGAGAGUGGCGAGCCUGUGAGGGUGAGCGAAUCUCGGAAAGCCGGUCUCAGUUCGGAUUGGGGCCUGCAACUCGACCUCAUGAAGUCGGAGUCGCUAGUAAUCGCAGAUCAGCAACGCUGUGGUGAAUACGUUCCCGGG